ACCCUUCUGUGCUUCAUCAGCCUGAUUAUUGGGUUUUCAUGCAGACGUGUGAGUUAUGCCUCCCUCAAGCCUUGUCACGACAUCCGCACAUUACCAGUCUGAUG
Molecule: small nucleolar RNA, 104 nt
Organism: Macaca fascicularis (crab-eating macaque)
Lineage: Eukaryota; Metazoa; Chordata; Mammalia; Primates; Cercopithecidae
Source: Ensembl